CAGGCCGCCCGGGAUGAGCUAAUAAUGGAAGCAAUUUGUAACUUUCAGUAACUCUCUAGGCCUGGGUACCGGAGGGAGGGAGGCGGGCAGAGGAGGGGAGAUGGGCACCCCCAGUUUUUCCAUCCUCCUCAUUCGUCUAGGGGCACCCGAAUCCCCUAUUCCUUAUUUCCCCUAUCACUCAGGCACUGGCAGGGUCCUUUUCCCACUCCUGUUGGCCGCCGCGGCUCCAAAGCGAGCUUCCACAAUUCUCAGCUUCCAACGGACUCAUCCUCCCCUCUCCUCCCAGCGAAGGACGGAUGCCUGGGAAGUAGACAGUGUCCUUCUUGGGUCAGAACCUAUGCUCUGGUUCUAGUUCAGGACACCUCCAGUCUCACCUCCAAGCCGGCAAAACGAAUGUGCCUGAGACAGGUUUGACCAGGCAACUGAAAAUAUAUCCCUAAGAGAAGACAAAACAAAGAUAUGAAAGGAACACACUUCCCUGACUGACUAGGAGGAACAGAGCUGCCUGCUGACUGGAACCGCUUCCUCCCAGACUAAGUGAGAAAUAAACUUCUGUUUUCUAUA
This 564-nucleotide long non-coding RNA is filed under the name Homo sapiens (human). Its description in RNAcentral is "HSALNT0400609". Lineage: Eukaryota; Metazoa; Chordata; Mammalia; Primates; Hominidae. The record is from RNAcentral.